ACGCUCGACACCUACGGGGGCAGCAGUAGGGAAGUUUUACGGUCAAUGGGGGGAACCCGGUACGACCGACGGCAACGCCGCCGUGAAGGAAGGAAGGAAUUCGUUUCUGUAAACUUACUUGUUAUUAAAGGAAAGGAAACGGCGGAUAUAGGGAAGUGAUAUCCGAGUGACGGUACUUUAUUGAGAAAGCCACGGCUAACUACGUGCCAGCAGCCGUGGUAAUCUGAGCGGGCUGGCAAGGC
This 242-nucleotide ribosomal RNA is filed under the name uncultured bacterium. RNAcentral describes it as "partial 16S ribosomal RNA". It matches the Rfam family "Bacterial small subunit ribosomal RNA", at positions 328 to 539 of the family's 1533-position model. The record is from RNAcentral.